AAAAUGAAACCAAGGCCACUGCUUGCUGCAUCUGAAAUUUAGAUCAGUCUUGAAUGUGUCUAUGAGAGAACAGUACAAAUUUCCUUGCUGCAUUUCACGAAACAGGUAGCAGAGUGGAAAUUCCUGGGAAUUAUACUUCUUGAUGCAUGAGAUUGUUUAACAAACACGAACUCUCCCCCAGACUUUCGAUUUAAAGAAAAUCAAAGACCUUCCCUCAACUCAAUGAAGUGUUAAUAACACCACGGAGUCCUGAGCCUUCGUCCUGAGCAGCUGCAGGGCUUCCCGCCGCCUGCAGGUGUCGCUGGUGGCUACUGACCCAUCUGCUGCUUGGCAGGUGAUGGGAACAGGAAGAAGUUUGCCCACCUCUGAGAUGAGGAAUAGAUUCCAAUACCCUCCAUCUAGCAAGAAAAAUGAUGAUGGGCACACUGGGAGCAUUUCCUUUUGCACUUGCCUUGUCCUGUUGCUGUUUUAGAGCUAUGUGCUGCGUGCCAUUUGCAGCAAAUUUUCAGGCGGGCAGCAUUUUCUUCAUUCUAUACUCCAAGGAAGAGGAGGGUCAGAGAGGAUAAAUAACCUGCCUCGGAUCUCAGAAUAGGUAAAUGACAGAGACUCCACUGCCUCUGUGAUUUCUCUCGAGGCCCUGGGACCCUCAGAUGGUGAAAGGCAAGAGUCUGCGAACCCCUGGAGGUCUGGAAGCAGGAUUCAUGGAGUUCUUUCCCCAGAGAGGAGCAGUCAGCUCUGAGUCAAUUAGCAGAGCAAUCAUCGGAAAUCAAGUCCCUGACUAAUGAGGUGCCUGAAAUUGAGAUGUCACUUGUAAUCUCUUUUCUCCUAGACGAUCUGGAUUAAGAUUCCAAGGUGUUCCGAGGGCAGUCACUAAAGGCUGGCUGAAGGAGUGAUGCAAACUUUUGAUGGGUGGAAAGCAUACAUUUUAGUGAAGAGGGAAGAAAACACAACCAAGUUCUCCAAAAGCCCAGUAGAAUAAACACAAGCUGCCACUUGGAAAACAAUUCUGAAGAAAAGCCCAUCUGGGGAGAAAAAGUGAGGCAAUCCAAAAAGCCGCCAAGUGACCACAUUUCUGGAACCUUGAUUGGAAACAACGUGUGAACAUUUUACCUGGUGAUGAGCCCUGAGUUUUACAUCAGCCAACAGCCAUGGCAGCAGAUGACAGAAAAAAACGGAAUCUUUUCCAGACUUGGAGAAAGAUAAAUCUGAAAAGGAGUUUUUCCCUAUAGACCAGCUCUGCUUAGGAGAUACUCACUGUGAGUUGUCAGAUCAGGGAACUUUGAGUUCUGGGGCCUGGGAAGUCCAAGAUCAAGAUGCUGGCAGAUUCAGUGUCUGGGUCUUCUAAUGAUAUUUUGUCUUGACUCCGAAAGGGACCCUUAAGGUUGAAGAUUCUGAUAUUCUGACAUAGUAGCAGGUGCAUAUUUAUAAAAAACUUCCCACAGUAUUCCAAAGUAGAUGUGCCAUUUUAUCCUCCAAACAGCAAUGUAUUAGAGUUCCAGUGGUUUCCAAAGCCCCUGUCAACAUUUGGAUUGUCCGUCUUUUUUGAUUUUAGCCAUCCUAAUGGCAAAAGCCAUCUCCCAUGUAACCACAUGCUUCAGGAGAAGCUGACCCUACACCUAGCUCCACUGAAAACCAUAAGAAAGGAAUGUCAUGCCUAUAAUUGCUGCAGCUAUUUUAAUUCCAAGUAUGAGGUUGAAACAAUCAUGGAUGGCCAAGUGAAGAGAUGGAAAAAGCAGGAUUCAGGAUAACUUUAUUUUUUUGGAAGAUGACCAAAAUGCUAUCUCUAUUUGGAGAUAAUAAUUAGUCUCAUCUUCAUUGGCUUCUUCUCGAAUGCGGAGGGAAUUAUCGGAUGAGUACAUUGGAACAUGGUCGCCAUGUGGCCUGCUGCCCCCGUGUACCACUUGGAGACCAGCCUAGCAUGGAAAUGACCAGAUGUUGGAAGCUGAGCUACUGCUCAAGGUAUUAAUGCUUGAAAGAUAUUCCAUGUUUGAAGGGAUUUUUGUGGUGCUGGCCUACAAGUUGACCUUUUUGACGUGAAUAAGAAACAUUCUUCAAAACUGUGGUUGACAUCCAAGCUUGCUGUCAUGUUUUGAACUGCCCUAUGGAGAAAGCAACAUGGCUAAGAAUAUGAGAGAGCCAACAGGACAAUGAGGACCUCAAUACAGCAAGAAACCAAAUCCUGCCAACAACCAUAUAAAGCAACUGUCCAUCAGAAAGAUUGAGUAACUUG
This 2230-nucleotide long non-coding RNA is filed under the name Homo sapiens (human). Its description in RNAcentral is "HSALNT0330545". The record is from RNAcentral. Lineage: Eukaryota; Metazoa; Chordata; Mammalia; Primates; Hominidae.